CUAUAAUUGUCAGCUAAGUGGCGCACGGGUGAGUAAUGUAUAGAUAACCUGCCCUUAAGAAAGGAAUAACAGUUGGAAACGACUGCUAAUGCCCUAUAUGCCUUUAAUACAUAAGUAUGCAAGGGAAACGCUUUAGUGCUUAAGGAUGGGUCUGUAUGGUAUCAGCUUGUUGGUGAGGUAAUGGCUCACCAAGGCUAUGACGCCUAACUGGUUUGAGAGGAUGAUCAGUCACACUGGAACUGAGACACGGUCCAGACUCCUACGGGAGGCAGCAGUGGGGAAUAUUGCACAAUGGACGAAAGUCUGAUGCAGCAACGCCGCGUGGAGGAUGACACAUUUCGGUGCGUAAACUCCUUUUAUAUAGGAAGAUAAUGACGGUACUAUAUGAAUAAGCACCGGCUAACUCCGUGCCAGCAGCCGCGGUAAUACGGAGGGUGCAAGCGUUACUCGGAAUCACUGGGCGUAAGGAGCGUGUAGGCGGGUAUAUAAGUCAGAAGUGAAAUCCAAUAGCUCAACUAUUGAACUGCUUUUGAAACUGUAUACCUAGAAUGUGGGAGAGGUAGAUGGAAUUUCUGGUGUAGGGGUAAAAUCCGUAGAGAUCAGAAGGAAUACCGAUUGCGAAGGCGAUCUACUGGAACAUUAUUGACGCUGAGACGCGAAAGCGUGGGGAGCAAACAGGAUUAGAUACCCUGGUAGUCCACGCCCUAAACGAUGUACACUAGUUGUUGUGAGGCUCGACCUUGCAGUAAUGCAGUUAACACAUUAAGUGUACCGCCUGGGGAGUACGGUCGCAAGAUUAA
Molecule: ribosomal RNA, 800 nt
Filed under: uncultured bacterium
Lineage: Bacteria
Description: bacterial SSU rRNA
Rfam family: Bacterial small subunit ribosomal RNA
Source: RNAcentral